This 368-nucleotide unclassified non-coding RNA is filed under the name uncultured Rozellomycota. Its description in RNAcentral is "uncultured Cryptomycota sequence contains ITS1". The stretch from base 1 to 105 matches the Rfam family "5.8S ribosomal RNA", at positions 50 to 154 of the family's 154-position model. Lineage: Eukaryota; Fungi; Rozellomycota. The record is from RNAcentral.
GAAAUGCGAAACGUAAUGCGAUUUGCACGAAUCUGUGAGUCAUCAAGUCUUUGAACGCACCUUGCACCAUAUGAGCAAUUGUAUGGUAUACCUGUUUGAGAAUCGUAAAAACCUCUCACACUCCUCGUGUGUGUGGAAGUGUCCUUGAGCGUGUCAUGCGCUCUUGGAUCAAAUGUAGUAGGUCUAGUCAGGCUGGUGGCCUGGGACAUUGUGUGCUAGAGACGUCGCCUUGGCGAACAGUCUUCUCACGAUGCGUCCUGGGCUACUCCAAAGCUGGUCUGACGGCGGCCUCUGCAGUGAUCGUCUUUGGGCGGUCACAACCCCCCCUUUUUGAUCUCAAAUCAGGUAAGGCUACCCGCUGAACUUAA